This 253-nucleotide ribosomal RNA is filed under the name uncultured bacterium. RNAcentral describes it as "partial 16S ribosomal RNA". It matches the Rfam family "Bacterial small subunit ribosomal RNA", at positions 524 to 776 of the family's 1533-position model. The record is from RNAcentral.
UACGGGGGGGGCAAGCGUUGUUCGGAAUUACUGGGCGUAAAGGGCUCGUAGGCGGCCAACUAAGUCAGACGUGAAAUCCCUCGGCUUAACCGGGGAACUGCGUCUGAUACUGGGCGGCUUGAAUUCGGGAGAGGGAUGCAGAAUUCCAGGUGUAGCGGUGAAAUGCGUAGAUAUCUGGAGGAAUACCGGUGGCGAAGGCGGCAUCCUGGACCGAUAUUGACACUGAUGAGCGAAAGCUAGGGGAGCAAACGGG